This 464-nucleotide ribosomal RNA is filed under the name uncultured bacterium. Its description in RNAcentral is "partial 16S ribosomal RNA". It matches the Rfam family "Bacterial small subunit ribosomal RNA", at positions 339 to 795 of the family's 1533-position model. The record is from RNAcentral.
CUACGGGGUGCUCCAGUGGGGAAUAUUGUACAAUGGGCGCAAGCCUGAUGCAGCCAUGCCGCGUGUAUGAAGAAGGCCUUCGGGUUGUAAAGUACUUUCAGCGGGGAGGAAGGGAGUAAAGUUAACACCUUUGCUCAUUGACGUUACCCGCAGAAGAAGCACCGGCUAACUCCGUGCCAGCAGCCGCGGUAAUACGGGGGGUGCAAGCGUUAAUCGGAAUUACUGGGCGUAAAGCGCACGCAGGCGGUUUGUUAAGUCAGAUGUGAAAUCCCCGGGCUCAACCUGGGAACUGCAUCUGAUACUGGCAAGCUUGAGUCUCGUAGAGGGGGGUAGAAUUCCAGGUGUAGCGGUGAAAUGCGUAGAGAUCUGGAGGAAUACCGGUGGCGAAGGCGGCCCCCUGGACGAAGACUGACGCUCAGGUGCGAAAGCGUGGGGAGCAAACAGGAUUAGAUACCCGUGUAGUC